This 406-nucleotide ribosomal RNA is filed under the name uncultured bacterium. RNAcentral describes it as "bacterial SSU rRNA". It matches the Rfam family "Bacterial small subunit ribosomal RNA", at positions 917 to 1322 of the family's 1533-position model. The record is from RNAcentral.
GGGCCCGCACAAGCGGUGGAUUAUGUGGAUUAAUUCGAUGCAACGCGAAAAACCUUACCUAGCCUUGACAUGUACCGAAUUUAGCAGAGAUGCUUUAGUGCUCGUAAGAGAACGGUAACACAGGUGCUGCAUGGCUGUCGUCAGCUCGUGUCGUGAGAUGUUGGGUUAAGUCCCGCAACGAGCGCAACCCUUGCCAUUAAUUGCCAUCAUUUAGUUGGGCACUUUAAUGGGACUGCCGGUGACAAACCGGAGGAAGGUGGGGAUGACGUCAAGUCCUCAUGGCCCUUAUGGCUAGGGCUUCACACGUAAUACAAUGGUCGGUACAGAGGGUCGCCAACCCGCAAGGGGGAGCCAAUCCCAGAAAGCCGAUCGUAGUCCGGAUUGUUGUCUGCAACUCGACAGCAUG